UGUGAGGCACUCACUGCCUCCUUCCAGAGCCCUCCUCCCUGCUCCUGGCCUGGAGGAGCAGGCGCCUAGAGGGAGAAGGACUGGCCACUUCAGAGCAACCCUACCCCAACCACACCAGUGAGGGGUUGGGGGAAGAAUCUGAAAUGAAAUAGGAGGGCAGCGUGGUGCCUUAGAAAUGUCUUUGCUGUUCUGAUAAAGGAGGGAUGAAUGCAGUGCACAAGAGAUAUCGAUCUCGGAUUGGAACAUAGAAAAUGUCAAUGAAGGAUCCACAGCUUUCAUCAUUCAUGGGAAACUGGCAGGCCAGACCAGCCCAUCCUGUCUCAGAAAGUGAACACCCCUGUGACAGCAGGAUGUUGGAGGUGGGGUAAAUCUUGCUGCGGCUAACUCUUUGGUUCUGUG
This is a long non-coding RNA of Homo sapiens (human), 399 nucleotides long. RefSeq lists it as uncharacterized. The record is from RefSeq and is a predicted model, not a curated record. The transcript has 3 exons. Lineage: Eukaryota; Metazoa; Chordata; Mammalia; Primates; Hominidae.